This 669-nucleotide long non-coding RNA is filed under the name Fukomys damarensis (Damara mole-rat). RNAcentral describes it as "lncRNA (ENSFDAG00000021645.1)". The record is from RNAcentral. Lineage: Eukaryota; Metazoa; Chordata; Mammalia; Rodentia; Bathyergidae.
CACCUUUCCUCCUUACCUAGAGAAUGGUAACAAUAUCGGACCACUCUUCUUCCCCAUCUCUCCGAAGGAUCCUGGGGAUACGGACAGCUGUGAGUCCCCAGGCUAUCACCGCUCCCUCCAGAGAUCAGCUCCAGGAUGACCACAGCUGCCCAGCCUUCCUUCCAAGGUGCAACGGGGUCUUGGCCCAUCUGGCCAGGCCCGCGACGGUGGUGUCAGGCCUGGGCACGUGAGGUCUAAGCCGCGCAAGGACAGCGACUUCAGCCUCACGCCCUUCCUGUCUCCCUGACCAUUCUGCUCGCUCCCCCGGGGCCUCCCUGGACACACCGCGCAGUUUGCAGCCAGGCCCUCAGCACCUGCCCUUUCUUCAGUUCUCCCCAAGUAGGUACCCCGUUCAGAUGACCCCUUCUCAGAGUUUCUCUGACCAUGCUGUCAUCACAUCCCCUGAGCCUCAAAAGGUGCCCAGCAGGAAGUGGGCAUCUGAUUAUUAUUAUUUUUUUUGUAUCUGGGAUCGAACUCAGGACCUUGCACUUGUGAGGCAGGCAGCGGCACCUGAGCUACAUCCCUGGCCCUAGUAGGUAUCUAAUGAACAUUCUCCGAAUGAAUAUGGGCUAUGAUAUAUGGGGGUGUCUGGAAAAGCAGACUGAGGGACCCAGGAGCAUGAGGCUGCAG